This 584-nucleotide ribosomal RNA is filed under the name uncultured Micromonosporaceae bacterium. Its description in RNAcentral is "bacterial SSU rRNA". It matches the Rfam family "Bacterial small subunit ribosomal RNA", at positions 119 to 716 of the family's 1533-position model. Lineage: Bacteria; Bacillati; Actinomycetota; Actinomycetes; Micromonosporales; Micromonosporaceae. The record is from RNAcentral.
GAGCAACCUGCCCUUAGCUUUGGGAUAACCCUCGGAAACGGGGGCUAAUACCGGAUGUUCACUGCUGGACGCAUGUUUGGUGGUGGAAAGUUUUUCGGCUAGGGAUGGGCUCGCGGCCUAUCAGCUUGUUGGUGGGGUGAUGGCCUACCAAGGCGACGACGGGUAGCCGGCCUGAGAGGGCGACCGGCCACACUGGGACUGAGACACGGCCCAGACUCCUACGGGAGGCAGCAGUGGGGAAUAUUGCACAAUGGGCGAAAGCCUGAUGCAGCGACGCCGCGUGAGGGAAGACGGCCUUCGGGUUGUAAACCUCUUUCAGAUCCGACGAAGCGUAAGUGACGGUAGGGUCAGAAGAAGCGCCGGCCAACUACGUGCCAGCAGCCGCGGUAAGACGUAGGGCGCAAGCGUUGUCCGGAUUUAUUGGGCGUAAAGAGCUCGUAGGCGGCUUGUUGCGUCGACUGUGAAAACCCACGGCUCAACUGUGUGGUCUGCAGUCGAUACGGGCAGGCUAGAGUUCGGUAGGGGAGACUGGAAUUCCUGGUGUAGCGGUGAAAUGCGCAGAUAUCAGGAGGAACACCGGUGGC